This 1330-nucleotide ribosomal RNA is filed under the name uncultured bacterium. RNAcentral describes it as "bacterial SSU rRNA". It matches the Rfam family "Bacterial small subunit ribosomal RNA", at positions 31 to 1390 of the family's 1533-position model. The record is from RNAcentral.
GAACGCUAGCGGCGUACCUAACGCAUGCAAGUCGAACGGGGAAAUUUUAGCAAUAAGACUUCCUAGUGGCAAACGGGUGAGUAACACGUAGGGAUCUACCUCAGAGUGGGGAAUAACGAACUGAAAGGUUCGCUAAUACCGCAUGAUGUCGCAAGACCAAAGGGGUCGCAAGACUUUGCUUUGAGCGGAGCCUGCGUUCGAUCAGAUAGUUGGUGAGGUAACGGCUCACCAAGUCGAUGACCGAUAGCUGUUCUGAGAGGAAGACCAGCCACACUGGGACUGCGACACGGCCCAGACUCCUACGGGAGGCAGCAGCGAGGAAUAUUGCACAAUGGAGGAAACUCUGAUGCAGUAACGCCGCGUGGGGGAAGAAGACCUUCGGGUUGUAAACCUCUUUUUGUAGAGACGAGUGAGGACGGUAUCUAUAGAAUAAGUCUCGGCUAACUACGUGCCAGCAGCCGCGGUAAGACGUAGGAGGCGAGCGUUAUCCGGAUUCACUGGGCGUAAAGCGCAUGUAGGCGGUUGUGGAAGUCGUGUGUUAAAGCCCCUGGCUCAACUGGGGGAGGUCAUGCGAGACUCCACGGACUCGAGGGCAGCAGAGGCACGUGGAACUCCCGGUGUAGCGGUGGAAUGCGUAGAGAUCGGGAAGAACACCCGUGGCGAAGGCGACGUGCUGGGCUGCAUCUGACGCUGAGAUGCGAAAGUGUGGGGAGCAAACGGGAUUAGAUACCCCGGUAGUCCACACUGUAAACGAUGAACCCUAGGUGUGGGACGGUCAAACGUUCCGUGCCGAAGCCAACGCGUUAAGGGUUCCGCCUGGGGACUAUGAGCGCAAGCUUAAAACUCAAAGGAAUUGACGGGGGCCCGCACAAGCAGCGGAGCGUGCGGUUCAAUUCGAUGCGACACGAAGAACCUUACCAGGGUUUGACAUGCAGGUGGUAGGGAAGGGAAACUGGACCGACCCGCAAGGGAGCCUGCACAGGUGAUGCAUGGCUGUCGUCAGCUCGUGCCGUGAGGUGUUGGGUUAAGUCCCGCAACGAGCGCAACCAUCGCCUUUAGUUGCCAUCAUUCAGUUGGGCACUCUAAAGGGACUGCCGGUGAUAAGCCGGAGGAAGGUGGGGAUGACGUCAAGUCCUCAUGGCCAUUACGGGUAGGGCUACACACGUGCUACAAUGGCGGUGACAGAGGGCAGCGACCCCGCGAGGGGAUGCUAAUCCUAAAAAGCCGUCUCAGUUCGGAUUGCACUCUGCAACUCGGGUGCAUGAAGUCGGAAUCGCUAGUAAUCGCUAAUCAGCAGGUAGCGGUGAUACGUUCCCGGGCAUGCACACAC